RNAcentral lists this ribosomal RNA (425 nucleotides) under uncultured prokaryote. RNAcentral describes it as "bacterial SSU rRNA". It matches the Rfam family "Bacterial small subunit ribosomal RNA", at positions 355 to 796 of the family's 1533-position model. The record is from RNAcentral.
UAACGAAUAUUCCGCAAUGCGCGAAAGCGUGACGGAGCAAUGCCGCGUGCAGGAUGAAGCCCCUCGGGGUGUAAACUGCUGUCAGGGAUUAGGAACACAAUGACCAACCCCAAAGGAAGGACCGGCUAACUCUGUGCCAGCAGCCGCGGUAAUACAGAGGGUCCAAGCGUUGAUCGGAAUCACUGGGCUUAAAGGGUUCGUAGGCGGAUCUGUAAGUAUGUUGUGAAAUCCCACAGCUCAACUGUGGAAUUGCUUCGUAGACUGCAGAUCUUGAGCACGACAGGGGCCAUCAGAACGAUAGGUGGAGCGGUGAAAUGCGUAGAUAUCUAUCGGAAUGCCAAAGGUGAAGACAGAUGGCUGGGUCGUCGCUGACGCUCAGGAACGAAAGCAUGGGUAGCGAACGGGAUUAGAUACCCCCGUAGUCC